UACGUAGGUGGCAAGCGUUGUCCGGAUUUACUGGGCGUAAAGGGCGUGCAGGCGGUCUGUUAAGUGCAGGGUGAAAGCUCCCGGCUCAACUCGGAGAGGUCCUUGCAUACUGGCGGACUUGAGGGGGGUAGAGGAAAGUGGAAUUCCCGGUGUAGUGGUGAUAUGCGUAGAUAUCGGGAGGAACACCUGUGGCGAAGGCGGCUUUCUGGGCCGUACCUGACGCUGAGACGCGAAAGCGUGGGGAGCAAACAGG
Molecule: ribosomal RNA, 253 nt
Filed under: uncultured bacterium
Lineage: Bacteria
Description: partial 16S ribosomal RNA
Rfam family: Bacterial small subunit ribosomal RNA
Source: RNAcentral